GAUUUCUGCUUGACUAUUUUAGCCCGCUUGCCUUAACCGGUGAGUGAGCGCUGAGAGACGUUGGGCAUCCAUGUAAGCUGUGUGUGCCUACUCUUCACUGAGCGGGUGCGCGCGGUUUACAUCUUUUACUUUGAAAAAAUUAGAGUGCUUAAAGCAGGCUUAUGCUUCUGAAUACAUUAGCAUGGAAUAAUAAUAUAGGACUUUGGUUCUAUUUUGUUGGUUUCUAGGACUAAAGUAAUGAUUGAUAGGGAUAGUUGGGGGUGCUAGUAUUCCGUGGCCAGAGGUGAAAUUCUUGGAUUCACGGAAGACUAACUAUUGCGAAAGCAUU
This 328-nucleotide ribosomal RNA is filed under the name uncultured Ventricleftida. RNAcentral's name for it is "SSU rRNA". The stretch from base 109 to 328 matches the Rfam family "Eukaryotic small subunit ribosomal RNA", at positions 735 to 955 of the family's 1831-position model. Lineage: Eukaryota; Cercozoa; Thecofilosea; Ventricleftida. The record is from RNAcentral.